ACUCCUACGGGAGGCAGGCAGUCGGGGGAAUAUUGCACAAUGGGCGCAAGCCUGAUGCAGCCAUGCCGCGUGUGUGAAGAAGGCCUUCGGGUUGUAAAGCACUUUCAGCGAGGAGGAAGGUGGUGAACUUAAUACGUUCAUCAAUUGACGUUACUCGCAGAAGAAGCACCGGCUAACUCCGUGCCAGCAGCCGCGGUAAU
This 200-nucleotide ribosomal RNA is filed under the name uncultured Serratia sp. RNAcentral describes it as "partial 16S ribosomal RNA". It matches the Rfam family "Bacterial small subunit ribosomal RNA", at positions 335 to 524 of the family's 1533-position model. Lineage: Bacteria; Pseudomonadati; Pseudomonadota; Gammaproteobacteria; Enterobacterales; Yersiniaceae. The record is from RNAcentral.